CCCAGCACCAAACAUACAAUAUUUCCCAAGGGCCUCUUUCCUGCUUGUAUAAACUGUGGAGUACUGGCCUGUCCAUGUAUGGUAAAGUAGAGAGGGAUAAAUAAAGUACAUAAGGGCAAGUUAUGGUAAAGUGAGGUGAGGAUCAGGUAGAGAGGGAUAAAUAAAGUACAUAAGGGCAAGUUAUGGUAAAGUGAGGUGAGGAUCAGGUAGAGAGGGAUAAAUAAAGUACAUAAGGGCAAGUUAUGGUAAAGUGAGGUGAGGAUCAGGUAA
Molecule: long non-coding RNA, 270 nt
Organism: Nematostella vectensis (starlet sea anemone)
Lineage: Eukaryota; Metazoa; Cnidaria; Anthozoa; Actiniaria; Edwardsiidae
Exons: 2
Source: RefSeq, a predicted model, not a curated record